GAUGAACGCUAGCGGCAGGCUUAACACAUGCAAGUCGAGGGGUAGAAGGAGCUUUCCCCUUUGAGACCCGCGCACGGGUGCGUAACGCGUAUGCAAAAUACCUUGUACAGGUGCAUAGCACAGAGAAAUUUGGCUUAAUGCCUCAUAGUAUAUACCCUUCGCAUGUUGGGUAUAUUAAAGUUCCAACGGUACAAGAUGAGCAUGCGUCCCAUUAGUUAGUUGGUAAGGUAACGGCUUACCAAGACGAUGCUGGGUAGGGGUCCUGAGAGGGAGCUCCCCCACACUGGUACUGGGGCACCGACCAGACUUCUACCGGAGGCAGCAGGUGGGGAUAUUGAUCAAUGGUCGCGAGGCUUAACCAGCCAUCCCGCGUGCAGGAAGACCGUCCUAUGGAUUGUAAACUGCUUUUAUACAGGAAGAAGCCCUCCCACGUGUGGGAGCUUGACGGUACUGUAAGAAGAAGGACCGGCUAACUCCGUG
Molecule: ribosomal RNA, 480 nt
Filed under: uncultured bacterium
Lineage: Bacteria
Description: partial 16S ribosomal RNA
Rfam family: Bacterial small subunit ribosomal RNA
Source: RNAcentral